GACUGACUCACCGCUACUGUGCGUGAUUCUGGUCUCUGCCGUUCCCGCAGCCGCCGUCUGCGUCCAGCCCCGGGGUUAGGACCUGACCGCACAAACGCCGGGAGGGGCGCCCCAGCGGCGGCCUGCGCUUGCGCUGGACCAGUCCAGGGUCCUCGACCACUCACCGUCCACCUUCCGAGAGCCUCCGCCCGCCUCGCCCGGCGCAAUCCGACCGCCUGCGCGCGGUCCCGGCGCGCCCCGCCAGGGUCACUGCUUCAAAAGGAGGCAGGUUCGGGUCGCUGUGAGUGAAUGGGAACCUCCUGACAGCGCAGGUCCGGCGAGUGAACCUCAGCACCCGGACGGCAGGUAACGGGAUUGAGAAGGAACCACGGCUAGGGCGCCGCCUUCUCCUUCGCCUUAAUUUUUAGAUGUUUUGGGCUGAGGAAGAAGGCCAUGUGUACAAUUCAUUGCUUCUGUGGGGGCAGGGGGGAGGACGAGUGUUUAUCUUGCCUCAUCAAGGUUAGUUUUGUUUUGAUUUGUGUUUUAUCAGCUGCAUCUUUCUCUCUUUUGGUUGAAAUCAUGUUUCCUUCCUUUGUUACUACCCAUUCUUCAAUUUCUUUAGAUAUUUUCGUACUAUUACACAGUUUAGGGUUACAUUUGUAUAAUUAUUCAGUUACUACUAUUUGAUAGAAAUGGAUUUUUCUCUCAAAUAGUAUCACCAAGCUAUCUUCAUCCCAUGAAUAAUUUGCUCCAUUGAUUCUGUUCCGAUGAUGCUGAUUCCUAAACUAAGUUCUGGGAUUGUGUUCGUCUUGAACAUUCCACAAUGCCCACUACUUUGGUACACACGGAGGACUUCCAGUGUAUUCUUGAUACUCAAUCCCUUUUUUAUGCAGUAUCCUCUUCUUAUUCCUCUUAUGACCAGAUCAAACCCCCACCACCCACCCAGCCAAGCAUGCGCUCAUAGACCUGCACUGCCAUCUCGACUAGCAACUCCAGUUUCUCUCCAUUAUAGUCUAGCAAAACUCUUCUCCUCUGAAUCUCCUAAAUCUCAUCCUCAUUGUAACUCAUCCUCAUUGUAACUCAUAAAUGUCAAAGCUUGGACAUCUGGCUUCAGCCUGCCUUUCGGACUCUGCAUGUCCAUCCUUUACAACCCACUCAAGUCUUCAUUCAUUUUUAUGUUCUUACCAAAAACAGAAUACUUAUGGAAAGAUGUCAUUUAAAACAAGCAUAUUAUGAAAAGUAGCAGAUAUAGAAAUACCAUCAAAUAUCUAGUCAGUAAAUUUCUACAUGUUUACUGCUCUGAAUAUUUUUGUUUAGUUUGUUUGACCCAUGAUCCAAAUAAGUUCCUCAAAUUGAAAUUGGUUAAUAUAUUUUCCCCCUCCAUAUGUUCCUACUUCAUCUCUGCCUCUGUACCACUUUUUACUGUUACUGGAGUAAAUUACAAGUUUUUAAGGCCCUUCUCCUAGACGAUGAAAUUAUGGACUCACCAGUGAUGUUCAGAUUUAAAGUUGUGGAAUUUGCUGCAUUUUUCAUCCCUUUAAAGCCUGGCAUUUGGGCUUGGAAUCAGGAAGUGAAAAAGAGCAUAAAUACAAGUCUCUUAAAUUGUGCUUUCGUUCAGGGGGAUCGUUGAUUUACUUUAUAUAACAAGUGCACUCUUAUGCAUUUAUAUACAAUGGAUUUGCUGAGAGAAAUUAGGUUAAAAUCUUCACAUUUUAGGGAAAGAGGAUGUUAACUUUCAGGCCAUUCUGUUACAUGCCUGCUUUCCCUUCUUAAGUCAGUUUUCCUCCUCCUCAAUGUUGUAAUAUAAAUAAUAUUAAUAAAUAAUAAUAUCAGAAUAAGCCCUAUGUUUUGCAUGCUCACUACUGUAAACCUAGUUUUGCCUACCGCUGUACACUGGAUUUUUUUGCUGAGUGGGGCUAGUCUCAGUCUGUAACAAAGUAGCACUUGUUCUUGGUCAGUGUCAUGCAGGUGCCUACAUUGUUGCUGCAGUGUGUACACUCACCAAAAGAACUUCUGGUUUUAGACAUGUAUAGAGGCAGAAAAUCAAUGUGCAAUAAUUUUUUUCACCUUCAGCUGACUUUUCACCAACAGAAGAAGUCUGGAUGGUUUCUCUUCUGCCUGUCAACUCCUUUCUCAGAAUCAGAGACUAUGGAUUAAAUGGGUCUUGGAUGCUUCAGUUUUCCUUUACAAAGGAUCUUCUAUUCCUAGUGAAGCUUUUCUUACAGCUUGAAUUCUCUUUAUUUUACUACAUGUAUCAGGUGAGUCCAUAUAUCUGGACUCACAAACGUAAGACACCUGUUAAGCGAACCCAAGUUCUGUGGAAAAUUUGGUGCUUGAACGAGGGAAACAGGGUAUGCUAUUCAUCAUUUAUUUUAAGAAGAGUACUCAUGACUGGGAAGAAACCUAAUAAUCUAUUUAUGCUUCUAAUUAGCUUUCAAUCCAAUACCAAAAAAUAAAAAUUAGUAACUUACUGAGCUUGGCAGUAAUAACUUGGAAAAAAUUUGUUUCAUAUGUAAAUGUUGCUAAAGGAUUUUGCACAUUAAAGGUAAAUAAACAUGUUUUUCUCCUUUUUGCCUGAUACAUUACAUAGAGAAGCAUCUUGGGCGAUUAUCCCUGUGGAGAUUCCUGAAAAGAGUACACUGAAGGUUUGCAGCUCUGUGUUCUGCCAGCAGCUCCUCCAGCAGUGUUUUGUCUUAAGGGUAUAGCAGUGCUUCUGCCCUGUCUUCAAGUAGUAAAAAGGUUGCAAUG
Long non-coding RNA from Phyllostomus discolor (pale spear-nosed bat), 2727 nucleotides. RefSeq lists it as uncharacterized. NCBI's taxonomy places the organism in Eukaryota, Metazoa, Chordata, Mammalia, Chiroptera, Phyllostomidae. The record is from RefSeq and is a predicted model, not a curated record. The transcript is spliced from 2 exons.